RNAcentral lists this ribosomal RNA (406 nucleotides) under uncultured bacterium. RNAcentral's name for it is "partial 16S ribosomal RNA". It matches the Rfam family "Bacterial small subunit ribosomal RNA", at positions 29 to 526 of the family's 1533-position model. The record is from RNAcentral.
AUUGAACGCUGGCGGCAGGCCUAACACAUGCAAGUAGAACGAGUGGCGGACGGGUGAGUAAUGUCUGGGACACUCCCCGAUGGAGGGGGAUAACUACGGGAAACGGUAGCUAAUACCGCAUACCCUCAGAUGUGCCCAGAUGGGCUUAGCUUGUUGGUGGGGUAACGGCUCACAAAGGCGACGAUCCCUAGCGGGUCUGAGAGGAUGACCAGCCAAACUGGAACGGAGACACGGUCCAGACCCCUACGGGAGGCAGCAUUGGGGAAGAUUGCAAAAUGGGCGAAAGCCUGAUGCAGCCAUGCCGCGUGGAUGAAGAAGGCCUUCGGGUGGUAAAGUACUUUCAGCGGGGAGGCGUUACCCACAGAAGAAGCACCGGCUAACUCCGUGCCAGCAGCCGCGGUAAUUC